AGGGAAUAGAUACCCGGGUAGUCCCAGCCCUAAACGAUGGAUACUAGGUGUCGGGGGUAUCGACCCCUCCGGUGCCGUCGCUAAACGCAGUAAAGUAUCCCGCCUGGGGAGUACGGCCGCAAGGUUGAAACCCAAAGGAAUUGACGGGGGCCCGCACAAGCGGUGGAGCAUGUGGUUUAAUACGUCACUAACCGUAGAACCUUACCAAGGCUUGACAUCCGUCGCACCGGUGUGAAAGCAUCGUCCCGAGUAAUCGGGCGGCGAGACAGGUGUUGCAUGGCUGUCGUCAGCUCGUGUCGUGAGAUGUUGGGUUAAGUCCCGCAACGAGCGCAACCCUCAUCCCAUGUUGCCAGCGGGUAAUGCCGGGAACUCUUGGGAAACUGCCGGGGUAACUCGGAGGAAGGUGAGGAUGACGUCAAGUCAGCAUGGCCCUUACGCCUUGGGCUACACACAUGCUACAAUGGACGGUAUACAGAGGGACCCGAUGCCGUGAGGUGGAGGCAAUCCCAGAAAUCCGUUCUCAGUUCGGAUUGCAGGCUGCAACUCGCCUGC
RNAcentral lists this ribosomal RNA (552 nucleotides) under uncultured bacterium. Its description in RNAcentral is "bacterial SSU rRNA". It matches the Rfam family "Bacterial small subunit ribosomal RNA", at positions 773 to 1319 of the family's 1533-position model. The record is from RNAcentral.